RNAcentral lists this ribosomal RNA (422 nucleotides) under uncultured archaeon. Its description in RNAcentral is "partial 16S ribosomal RNA". It matches the Rfam family "Archaeal small subunit ribosomal RNA", at positions 323 to 746 of the family's 1478-position model. The record is from RNAcentral.
CUACGGGUCGCUGCAGACGAGAAAACUUUGCAAUGUGCGAAAGCACGACAAGGUUAAUCCGAGUGGUUUCUGCUAAAGGAACCUUUUGACAGUCCUAGAAACACUGUUGAAUAAGGGGUGGGCAAGUUCUGGUGUCAGCCGCCGCGGUAAAACCAGCACCUCAAGUGGUCAGGAUGAUUAUUGGGCCUAAAGCAUCCGUAGCCGGCUCUAUUAGUUUUCGGUUAAAUCUGUGCGCUCAACGUACAGGCUGCCGGGAAUACUGUAGAGCUAGGGAGUGGGAGAGGUAGACGGUACUCGGUAGGAAGGGGUAAAAUCCUUUGAUCUAUUGAUGACCACCUGUGGCGAAGGCGGUCUACCAGAACACGUCCGACGGUGAGGGAUGAAAGCUGGGGGAGCAAACCGGAUUAGAUACCCCGGUAGUC